CCUGCGAAGGAUCAUCA
Molecule: ribosomal RNA, 17 nt
Filed under: Dendronephthya sp. SJ2001_1
Lineage: Eukaryota; Metazoa; Cnidaria; Anthozoa; Malacalcyonacea; Nephtheidae
Description: partial 18S ribosomal RNA
Source: RNAcentral